ACUGACCCCAAGGUUCUGAGGGUUGUUUUCCUUGACUGCACAGAACUCUAGCAUAGUAACUAGAUAUAAAGUUCCAGUCCUGGGCUGUCCUGGGAUUUUCUGAGUCUUAGAACCCCUCUGUAGUGUCCGCUAGUCAUUUAGGACCUUAGUUGCUGUGUGUUCUUAGUAGUGUCUUUAUCUAGGGAUGACAACGACAUCAUCCUAUUCAGCCAGGAAAUGUUCCAAGCUUUGAAGAAGAGCCCUGCCCUCUCUACUGAGCUCUGGCCCCUGGAGCAGGUUUUCAGUAGACACAAUAAAGUAGCAGAAUACAGUAAUGGAUUGCAGAUGUAAUUGAAGGCCCUGGGUCGCUCUUCCUGGUCCUGUUUGCCUCUGGCCUCUCAGAGAAAGCACUGAACUGAGAAGAGGAGAAAAGGACAAAUUAUGGACAAGAGUAAUAUACCAACAAAGAGAACAGGUCAUCAUAACUCAGUUGAAGACAACUGAUAAUGAGAAGAAUGCUAAUUGGUUUCCUCCCUCUUAUCACUGAUCCCUACACAACCAGAAAAAUUUUCAUCCAACUUUACUGAAAGAGGACCACGGCUGAAUCCAAUAAAAGAAACAUAUUGUUAGAACAGCUUUCAUCUGCUCAAUUUACUAUGUAAAAUCUGGAAGAAAUGUAUGUUGAUAAACUUGGCCUGAUCCAAUGUCACAUUUCA
Ictidomys tridecemlineatus (thirteen-lined ground squirrel) is the source of this 695-nucleotide non-coding RNA. Lineage: Eukaryota; Metazoa; Chordata; Mammalia; Rodentia; Sciuridae. The record is from RefSeq and is a predicted model, not a curated record.